CUCAGGCCUGGACCAUCACUGUUGCCCAUCCCAUGCCAUCAACAGGUUUGCCCCAUCCCUUCGGCUCCCUACCAGGGCAUUCAGUUGUGUUGAGCAGCAGAGUGUCUCCAAGUCCCCACUGGUUGAGCUGCAUCCGGGUCCCAUCCCACAGGGACCCCCUGGCCGCUGCAGAUGCAUGCUGAUCCUGCAGCUCCUCGAGGGUGUCAUCGCUUUCCCCCUUCCCAGACCCAGCACACCCUGCCUGCAUGGCGCUGCGCUGCACCUUCACUCUGGUCACGGGUCUGGCAGUCAGCUCACCAAUUCCUCCUGCUUCCCUGGGACUUGCCGGCUUUUAGCACUGCAAUUCACUCAGCAAACUGGGACUGUUGGUCACCCUACCUGGCAGCCAGUGAUAAGGUGAGGGCCACUCCUGGGAGGGAGGACACCUGUGGGGAAAAUUCUUGUGUUAUUUAUUUCUCCUUCGGGAUAGGGUGCCUGCAGCGCUUCAUGGGAGGGGGUGGGCUGAUGCUGCGGGCUCAGAAGUUUCAAGGGCAUCUGGGGAGACCAGAUAUUCAGAGACCUUCUAGAUGUGCCUGUUCCAUGUAUCAGGGACGCAGGUUUUCCCAACAGGGCUGGUGUCAUUGGCAUGACAGACCUGCCUUGGCUGAGCGUUCACCUGUCUUUGGAGUUCAGCCACCUUAGCAAGUCCUGGGUUUGUUCUUCAGACUUUGCUGCUCGCCCAUUGCCUGGAUCGGGGGCUACUUUGUAAACCACCAGGAAGACUCCAGUGUUUCUGGUUAAUUUUUAGAUGUUUGUUAAUUGCUCUUGGUCUCUCAUUAAUCCCCUGUGGGUCAUCCAGGAAACAUACUCACCACUGUCUGUUCUCUGAGUUUUCAUUUCCAGGCAUCCGCCCUGCCUGGAUCUCCUCACCUGCCAGGAACUUCCUCUCCACAAGCCGGCCAUCCCAGCAAAAGUUCUAACACCAAAGGUCUGGCAACUAGCCUGCCAUCUUGUGCCUGGAGCCGCCUGCGUGCCACCUACUCCCGAAGAUGGGAACCUUGUUGCCAGUUGGGCAGAUGCGGGGCAAUCCUGUACCAAGACCCCAUUUUACCACCUGCUUUCUCAGACCACUCUGGAACCCACUGUCUCAGAUUGUGUCCUCCAGGAAGCAGACCAUGAGAGGGAGUUGGCAGGGCCAAAGAUUUACUGGGGCUAACUAACACUCAGGAAAGGGAUAGGAAGGAAACAGGGCUGGAGAGCAGGUUGAGCCCGACCUGACAGUCUCGAGCAGCCCAACAGGGAGGUGUGGAGCAAGGGUUGCCCACUAGAGGGGCCUGCAUUGGGUACGGGUGAUGGGGUCCACAUGGUACCUGGCAUAUAGCAGGCUGUGCAAUCCAUAUUAACUGACUGGAUAAAUUAAUGCCCAGAAAAGGUGCCCUGGAGAAUGGGUGUGUGCUGAACACAAUAGGGAAGGGCCCAGCAUCUGCCUUGGCAUAGGCAGAACUGUGCUGUGCCCUGCAACAGGCCACCUGAGAGCUGCUUUGAUCUUGUGUGUACAUUAGAUGACUGCCAGGGGCAUGAAGGGGAUGUGCUUCCAGGGCAUUUGCUGGCAGGGCGUCUCGUGAUCUCUUGGUAUUGGUGUGAGCACAGCCUGGCAGGAGAGGGCAGAUCUCCAUGCAAAGUAUGUCAGAAAGCAGAUGGAAGCCAGGCCCCCUCCUGAAAGAGGCUCCUUGAAGGCUCCUGGGACCACAUUAUCAUUCUCUUCACUCGAGAGAUGAGGACACUGAAAUUCAGAGAGGGGAAGUGAUUUGCCUCAGCUUGUACUGGUUUCACUUUGUCACUCAGGCUGGAGUGCAGUGAUGUGAUCAUAGCUUUCUGCAGCCUUGACUUCCGGGCUCAAGUGAUCCUCCCACCUCCGCCUCCUUAGUAGCUAGGACCACAGGCAUGCACCAGCACACCCAGCAAAUUAAAAAAAAAUUUUUUUUAAAGAUGAGAUCUCACUAUGUUGCCCAGGCUGGUCUGAAAUUCCUGUCCUCAAGCAAUCCUCCUGCCUUAGCCUCCCAAAGUGCUGAGAUUACAGGCAUGAGCUACCAUGCCUGGCCUAAAACAUUUUUAAUGGAAGUAUAAUUUGCAAACAGAAAACAUGCCCAAAUAUUAAGUGAAUGCACUGAUGAACAUUCACAACUUAACAAGAUAGCCAGCACUUAAAUCACAAAAUAGAACACCGCUAGGACCUCUUUGUAAUACCCUCCAAGUCACUACUUCUGCCCAAAGGUAAUCGCUAUUUUGCAACAUUUUUUAUUACUUUAUAUAAAUGAGAUCGUACACUGCGUAAUCUUAUUACUGUCUGGAUUUUUAUAUUAAAUAUUGCUUGUGAGAUUCAUCCAUGUUGUCAUGUCAGCAAUACUUUAUUCUCAUUGCCAUAUACUAUUCCAUUUUUAUCAGUAUACCAUGAUAUAUUUACCCAUUCUGCUAUUUGUACAUACUGGAAUUGUUCCCAGGUUUUUGUAAUACAAGCAAAGCUGCUAUG
RNAcentral lists this long non-coding RNA (2509 nucleotides) under Homo sapiens (human). Its description in RNAcentral is "non-protein coding LINC00894:22". Lineage: Eukaryota; Metazoa; Chordata; Mammalia; Primates; Hominidae. The record is from RNAcentral.